CGCGUAGGCGGUUAUUUAAGUCGGAUGUGAAAGCCCUGGGCUUAACCUGGGAACUGCAUUCGAUACUGGCUGACUAGAGUACGAGAGAGGGAGGUAGAAUUCCACGUGUAGCGGUGAAAUGCGUAGAUAUGUGGAGGAAUACCAGUGGCGAAGGCGGCCUCCUGGCUCGAUACUGACGCUGAGGUGCGAAAGCGUGGGGAGCAAACA
RNAcentral lists this ribosomal RNA (207 nucleotides) under uncultured bacterium. RNAcentral's name for it is "partial 16S ribosomal RNA". It matches the Rfam family "Bacterial small subunit ribosomal RNA", at positions 568 to 774 of the family's 1533-position model. The record is from RNAcentral.